Molecule: RNA transcript, 1389 nt
Organism: Pundamilia nyererei
Lineage: Eukaryota; Metazoa; Chordata; Actinopteri; Cichliformes; Cichlidae
Gene: alkbh7
Gene name: alkB homolog 7
Exons: 5
Source: RefSeq, a predicted model, not a curated record
GCGUUUCCAACAUGGCGCCUCCCAUAUCUGCUUGACUUAUGUCAACAAGACCGAAACGCCGCUGAAGGUAAACGGGGGCUUUAUAAGGACACUAACUAAUAAUACAUCGACAGGGACGAUGAAAGUGUUGUUGGCUGUGUUAAAGCAAAUCUACAAGCCAGCUCUUUGCACCGGUAACCCGCGCUGUCUGAGCUCCGGGGCCACCAGCGGCCUGUUACCUCUCGGGGAUGAAGCUCCAAUGGUGGGCUCCAGCCCGGAGCUGGUGCAGAAGCUGCGCUCGCAGGUGGAGGUGAGGACGGACUUCAUCACUGAGGCAGAAGAGGCUGCUUUUCUGCGGGAGCUGGACCCAGGCCUGAAGAAGAAACGCUACGAAUUUGAUCACUGGGACGAUGCAAUCCACGGGUACAGAGAGACUGAGCGUCUGAGGUGGGGCGCGGCAUGUGAGGAGAUCUUGAAUCGGGUCCGAUCUACAGCAUUUCCUGAAUGUAGCCAGCUCCUCGGCCCUGUGCACGUUAUAGAUUUGGACAAGACUGGCUACAUCAAGCCCCACAUCGACAGUGUCAAGUUCUGUGGAAGCACCAUUGCAGGGUUGAGUCUGUUGUCUGACAGUAUUAUGCGCUUAGUGAAGGAGGACACACCCAGUGAAUGGCUGGAUCUGCUGCUUUCCCGACGCUCCCUCUACAUACUGAGGGACCAGGCCAGAUAUAAGUUCACUCAUGAGAUCCUGAAAAAUGAGGAGUCUGUGUUCAACGGGCAGAGAGUGCCUCGACAGCGACGCAUUUCUGUCAUCUGUCGUAACCUUCCAGGAUAAGCUCCAGCUCUAAUAACAGCAGCAGAUCAUCAAGUCCAACUUUGAGGUUUCUGCCAGUGAUACUCAUGGGCUCUAGACUCAGGCUGUGGAGGAGCUUCCCGGGAUGCCCUGACCACUUCUUCCAUACCCAUGUGAUUUUUUUUUUGAAUGCUCUGUUGCAUGUUGUAUCUUUUAUCUAUACCAUCCUUCAGGUUUUGUUUUGUCUUUUGUUGUUCAUGGUCUUUCUUCUCUUUCCCAGCUGGCCAAGGCAGAUGUUUGUUCUUCUCUGAGUGUGAUUCUGUCUCACAUAUAAACCUAAUGAAAUGGAGUUCCUUCUCUCGACUGUUGCCAAGUGCCGGUUCAUAGGGUGCUUUGUGAUUUUGGGGGUUCUUGCUCUGAUAUUGUAGAGUCUAUCCUGGUUUGAGCUGGUGCAAUGCAAAUAUAUUUCAAUUAAAUUGUAUCUAUAUUGUGCUAAUUCACAACAACAGUCACCUCAAGGCACUUAAUUUUGCAAGAUACAGUAUUAGAAUGAAACCCUAACAAUCACACAACCCUCUAUGAGCAAGCACUUGGUGACUUAGGGACAUAUUCAAGCACAA